AACAACAUGACAGUGAAAACAGUAUGAAAAUACUAAUAUUAUAACCUUUUGAACUAAAGAGUGUUUAAAAGUGUGAGUAGGUGUGUGUGAGAGUAGGUGUGUGUGAGAGUACGUGUGUGUGAGUACGUGUGUGUGAGGUCUGCCGUCCACACCCACACCACAUGACUAAACAACAUUCAGACCCUAACAGCGUAUUUCCAUCUGAACACAACAGUGAGGUUUGACUGGCACACUGCUUCCCUGCUUCCCGUCAAUACCAGCGAGCUUUAGCUGGAGCAAAGGCUAGCUUUAGCUGGAGGAGAAAAUGCUAUUAGCUGGUGGAAUAGCUAGCUUUAGCUGGAGGAAAGGCUAGCUUUAGCUGGAGGAAAGGCUAGCUUUAGCUGGUGGAAUAGCUAGCUUUAGCUGGAGGAAAGGCUAGCUCUAGCUGGUGGAAUAGCUAGCUUUAGCUGG
Molecule: long non-coding RNA, 450 nt
Organism: Clupea harengus (Atlantic herring)
Lineage: Eukaryota; Metazoa; Chordata; Actinopteri; Clupeiformes; Clupeidae
Source: Ensembl